UGAGGAAUAUUGGUCAAUGGGCGCAAGUCUGAACCAGCCAUGCCGCGUGCAGGAUGACGGCUCUAUGAGUUGUAAACUGCUUUUGUACGAGGGUAAACGCAGAUACGUGUAUCUGUCUGAAAGUAUCGUACGAAUAAGGAUCGGCUAACUCCGUGCCAGCAGCCGCGGUAAUACGGAGGAUCCGAGCGUUAUCCGGAUUUAUUGGGUUUAAAGGGAGCGUAGGCGGACGCUUAAGUCAGUUGUGAAAGUUUGCGGCUCAACCGUAAAAUUGCAGUUGAUACUGGUUUCCUUGAGUGCAGUUGAGGCAGGCGGAAUUCGUGGUGUAGCGGUGAAAUGCUUAGAUAUCACGAAGAACCCCGAUUGCGAAGGCAGCUUGCUAAACUGUAACUGACGUUCAUGCUCGAAAGUGUGGGUAUCAAACAGGAUUAGAUACCCUGGUAGUCCACACGGUAAACGAUGGAUACUCGCUGUUGGCGAUAUACUGUCAGCGGCCAAGCGAAAGCAUUAAGUAUCCCACCUGGGGAGUACGCCGGCAACGGUGAAACUCAAAGGAAUUGACGGGGGCCCGCACAAGCGGAGGAACAUGUGGUUUAAUUCGAUGAUACGCGAGGAACCUUACCCGGGCUUAAAUUGCAGACGAAUUACGAGGAAACUUGUAAGCCGCAAGGCGUCUGUGAAGGUGCUGCAUGGUUGUCGUCAGCUCGUGCCGUGAGGUGUCGGCUUAAGUGCCAUAACGAGCGCAACCCUCGUGGUCAGUUACUAACAGGUUAAGCUGAGGACUCUGGCCAGACUGCCAUCGUAAGAUGUGAGGAAGGUGGGGAUGACGUCAAAUCAGCACGGCCCUUACGUCCGGGGCUACACACGUGUUACAAUGGGAGGUACAGAAGGCAGCUACCCGGCGACGGGAUGCCAAUCCCCAAAACCUCUCUCAGUUCGGACUGGAGUCUGCAACCCGACUCCACGAAGCUGGAUUCGCUAGUAAUCGCGCAUCAGCCACGGCGCGGUGAAUACGUUCCC
Molecule: ribosomal RNA, 1017 nt
Filed under: uncultured bacterium
Lineage: Bacteria
Description: bacterial SSU rRNA
Rfam family: Bacterial small subunit ribosomal RNA
Source: RNAcentral